UACGUAGGGGGCAAGCGUUGUCCGGAAUUAUUGGGCGUAAAGAGCUUGUAGGCGGUUUGUCGCGUCUGCUGUGAAAUUUCGGGGCUCAACCCCGAACUUGCAGUGGGUACGGGCAGACUAGAGUGUGGUAGGGGAGACUGGAAUUCCUGGUGUAGCGGUGAAAUGCGCAGAUAUCAGGAGGAACACCGGUGGCGAAGGCGGGUCUCUGGGCCGAUACUGACGCUGAGGAGCGAAAGCGUGGGGAGCGAACAGG
Molecule: ribosomal RNA, 253 nt
Filed under: uncultured bacterium
Lineage: Bacteria
Description: partial 16S ribosomal RNA
Rfam family: Bacterial small subunit ribosomal RNA
Source: RNAcentral